CAGCGCGGUAAUUCCAGCUCCAAUAGUGUAUAUUAGUGUUGUUGCGGUUAAAAAGCUCGUAGUUGAAUUUCGGGAUUGGGAUAUAUCGGUCAUGCCUUUAGGGGCAUGAAUCGGUGUGUAGCCAAUUUCUCACCUUCUGGUGAAUUGGGAUGCUCUUGGGUGUUUCAAUGAACUAGGACUUUUACUUUGAAAAAAUUAUAGUGUUUAAAGCGGGCAUUUUUGCUUGAAUACAUUAGCAUGGAAUAAUAAAAUAGGACGAUGGUUCUAUUUUGUUGGUUUUAGGACCACGUAAUGAUUAAUAGGGAUAGUUGGGGGCAUUAGUAUUCAAUAGUCAGAGGUGAAAUUCUUGGAUUUAUUGAGGACUAACUACUGCGAAAGCAUUUGCCAAGGAUGUUUUCAUUAAUCAAGAACGAAAGUUAGGGGAUCGAAGACGAUUUAUGUACGUCGUAGUCUUAACCAUAAACUAUGCCGACUAGGAAUCAGACAAAGUUCAUUUUUUAACGACUUGUUUGGUACCUUACG
Molecule: ribosomal RNA, 522 nt
Filed under: uncultured Entrophospora
Lineage: Eukaryota; Fungi; Glomeromycota; Glomeromycetes; Entrophosporales; Entrophosporaceae
Description: SSU rRNA
Rfam family: Eukaryotic small subunit ribosomal RNA
Source: RNAcentral